CCAGACUCCUACGGGAGGCAGCAGUAGGGAAUCUUCGGCAAUGGACGAAAGUCUGACCGAGCAACGCCGCGUGAGUGAAGAAGGUUUUCGGAUCGUAAGACUCUGUUGGUAGAGAAGAACGUUGGUGAGAGUGGAAAGCUCAUCAAGUGACGGUAACUACCCAGAAAGGGACGGCUAACUACGUGCCAGCAGCCGCGGUAAUACGUAGGUCCCGAGCGUUGUCCGGAUUUAUUGGGCGUAAAGCGAGCGCAGGUGGUUUAUUAAGUCUGGUGUAAAAGGCAGUGGCUCAACCAUUGUAUGCAUUGGAAACUGGUAGACUUGAGUGCAGGAGAGGAGGGUGGAAUUCCAUGUGUAGCGGUGAAGUGCGUAGAUAUAUGGAGGAACACCGGUGGCGAAAGCGGCUCUCUGGCCUGUAACUGACACUGAGGCUCGAAAGCGUGGGGAGCAAACAGGAUUAGAUACCCUGGUGGUCCACGCCGUAAACGAUGAGUGCUAGAUGUAGGGAGCUAUAAGUUCUCUGUAUCGCAGCUAACGCAAUAAGCACUCCGCCUGGGGAGUACGACCGCAAGGUUGAAACUCAAAGGAAUUGACGGGGGCCCGCACAAG
RNAcentral lists this ribosomal RNA (606 nucleotides) under uncultured bacterium. RNAcentral's name for it is "bacterial SSU rRNA". It matches the Rfam family "Bacterial small subunit ribosomal RNA", at positions 331 to 929 of the family's 1533-position model. The record is from RNAcentral.